RNAcentral lists this ribosomal RNA (1294 nucleotides) under Puppisaman sp. RNAcentral describes it as "Rhizaria sp. GAS-2018h partial small subunit ribosomal RNA". It matches the Rfam family "Eukaryotic small subunit ribosomal RNA". Lineage: Eukaryota; Cercozoa; Sainouridae. The record is from RNAcentral.
UGUAAAAGAUUAAGCCAUGCAUGUUUCAAAUAGAUGUCACUUUUAGCGAUGUCAAUUUGCGGACAGCUCAUUAUAACAUCCGUUACAUUCACCGUAAUGGUUUUGAUUAACAUUUACAAGGAUACUCCUGGUAACUCCAUGCCUAAUACUUGCUUCAACGUGGACUCUCAAUUUAUUGGGGGAAAACGGCAUUUAUUAGUUUUCUUAAAUCAACGAUAGUAUUGAAUGGCAACAUUUGGUAUAUUUUUAAUGAUUUAUGAUAAUUUAGCGGACCUGUAUUUUUAUUACAGGCACACGGUAUUGGCGGAUAAUAUAUUAGUUUGUAAGUAGUGUCUUGGACUACUUAGACGUUGAUGUAAUCGGGGAUCUAGAGAUUGACUCCGGAGAGUUAGCCUGAGAGAUAGCUAACAUUUCUAAGGAAAGCAGCAGGGACGCAAAUUAUCCACUGACAAUUCGUCGAGAUAGGAACCAUUUGUGAAGUUGUUUAUUUUGCUUUACAGCGAGUAAAUAAUUUCAGUACAAUGCACAUCAGUAAAACUCCUUUUGGAAGAAUAAGGCAUAAGAAUUGAGAAAUUGAGGAAGUUCACCACCCAGGAGUGGAGCUUGCGGCUUAAUUGAUCACGCGAGGAACUUUCCAGUCCGGACACCUAAGGAAAGCCAGAUGCAGCUCUUUCUCGAUUCGUGCUUGUGUAUGUAGUCCAUGGUCUUUGGGAAGUGAGUGGAUGAUUUUUCUGAUUAAUUUCGAUACAGCGAGACUCACCCUUGAUGGUGGGCUUUUUUAUAAGRCACCACUAUGAUGUAAAUACGUUGGUAUAUAUUCGUAUAUACAGCUCUUUCAACAACGUUCUUAAAGGGACUACUGUAGUUUUAUACAGGGGAAGCUUGAGGCGAUAAAAGGUCCGUGAUGCUCUUAGAUGUUCUGGGCCGCUCGCGCGCUACACUGGUUCAAGCAACGAGUUUUUUGUAGGCCACUCAUGUAUUAAGUCGAUUGUAGCAAUAUAGUCGAUAAGAUACCUGAUGCCUACCCCUGAUUCGAGAGGAUUGGGAAAUCUUUGAAAUUGAACCGUGCUGGGGAUUGACAAUUGCAAUUAUUUGUCAUGAACGAGGAAUUCCUAGUAAGCGCAUGUCAUCAGCAUGCAUUGAAUACGUUUCUGAUCUUUGUACACACCGCCCGUCGCUGUUACCGAUUGAAUGGUUUAGUGAGUAUCGGGGAGAUAUUAUUCUGAAUUCUUUUCGGAGAAUUUGAACGACAUCGAACCGCUUCAAACUGUAUCAUUUAGAGGAAGCAAAAGUU